CUUUGACUAGGCCAUUCCAACACAUUUACAUGUUAAUUACAAGGUAAAACAAGAGGAAACAUAGCUAAGCACUAUAUAUGAACAGUAUGAGGAUUUAGUCACACUAUAUGAUCAUGCAUUGCACAAGCCUGCCAACAAUGCCAAUGUACCCCAUAUCUGGCAGGUCCUAAUGCAUGCUAAAACAGCCACACUAAACCACAAUAGCACUUACCUGCAAGAAAGGGCAGAGACAUGAAACACUGCUGCAGGUCCAAGCUGAAACAAAAGGAAAGUGGAAAAGAAACGGGUGUGGCAACAUAAAACAAACAUUUAAGUGAAUCCAAGAGACUGGGAAAUCCAGGGACAGAAUAUAAGAAUGAAC
Molecule: non-coding RNA, 361 nt
Organism: Pelobates cultripes (western spadefoot toad)
Lineage: Eukaryota; Metazoa; Chordata; Amphibia; Anura; Pelobatidae
Source: the annotation of a GenBank genome assembly